Osmia bicornis bicornis is the source of this 639-nucleotide long non-coding RNA. RefSeq lists it as uncharacterized. The record is from RefSeq and is a predicted model, not a curated record. The transcript is spliced from 3 exons. NCBI's taxonomy places the organism in Eukaryota, Metazoa, Arthropoda, Insecta, Hymenoptera, Megachilidae.
AUAAUGAAUAAGUGAAUGAAUGAAUGAAUGAAUAAAUCAAGGAAGAGAGAAACAGCAGAAUACCAGCAAGUACGAGUAAGCAAACCCUAAUGUGCCAAAGCCACGGUGUCAAAACUAGCAUGCAAGGACUAGUUAAAAGGAACGACAUUGAAUAAGAGAACUGAAUUGCAACUGAAAAGGAAAAGAAAAGAAAGGAAACAAGAAACAGCCCACCAUCAUGGAAGAGCAACAUUAUGACCAGAGAGAGACGUCAUGAAUAAAUUGAAUUAAAGAAUAUCAAAAGAACAUCAAAAUGUCCAAUGAAUAUCAAGAAUGCACAGGCAAAUCAAGAACCAAAUCAAGAAGCGAUAAUGAAAUAAAAUGAAUAUCAAUAACAGCGAUAACGUGUCAUAAUAAACUAGAAUAUAUAAAUAUAAAUAUACUAAAAUAUAAAAUAUAGAAUAAAGAAUAACCGUAUGGAAACAAAUCAUAAAUAUAUUAAUACAAUCUACAGAACUUUGUACCAUCAUGAGUUAAAAUAAACUAAAUCAUAACAAUUGCUUUAAUUCAAUUCAAUUCAGAAUGGAUGAACAGUGACAGAAUGAAAGAAUGAACAACUGAACAAUGAAGUAAUCAAUUAAAGAUACUAAAGAAUGAGUU